AGUGAACGCUGGCGGUAGGCCUAACACAUGCAAGUCGAACGGCAGCACAGUAAGAGCUUGCUCUUACGGGUGGCGAGUGGCGGACAGGUGAGGAAUACAUCGGAAUCUACUUUUUCGUGGGGGAUAACGUAGGGAAACUUACGCUAAUACCGCAUACGACCUACGGGUGAAAGCAGGGGAUCUUCGGACCUUGCGCGAUUGAAUGAGCCGAUGUCGGAUUAGCUAGUUGGCGGGGUAAAGGCCCACCAAGGCGACGAUCCGUAGCUUGUCUGAGAGGAUGAUCAGCCACACUGGAACUGAGACACGGUCCAGACUCCUACGGGAGGCAGCAGUGGGGAAUAUUGGACAAUGGGCGCAAGCCUGAUCCAGCCAUACCGCGUGGGUGAAGAAGGCCUUCGGGUUGUAAAGCCCUUUUGUUGGGAAAGAAAAGCAGCAGGUUAAUACCCCGCUGUUCUGACGGUACCCAAAGAAUAAGCACCGGCUAACUUCGUG
This 492-nucleotide ribosomal RNA is filed under the name uncultured bacterium. RNAcentral's name for it is "partial 16S ribosomal RNA". It matches the Rfam family "Bacterial small subunit ribosomal RNA", at positions 29 to 507 of the family's 1533-position model. The record is from RNAcentral.